This 253-nucleotide ribosomal RNA is filed under the name uncultured bacterium. RNAcentral describes it as "partial 16S ribosomal RNA". It matches the Rfam family "Bacterial small subunit ribosomal RNA", at positions 524 to 776 of the family's 1533-position model. RNAcentral also lists the same sequence under 2 other names. The record is from RNAcentral.
UACGUAGGGGGCAAGCGUUGUCCGGAUUUAUUGGGCGUAAAGAGCGUGUAGGCGGCCAUACAGGUCAGCUGUGAAAACUCGAGGCUCAACCUCGAGACGUCGGUUGAAACCGUAUGGCUAGAGUCCGGAAGAGGAGAGUGGAAUUCCCGGUGUAGCGGUGAAAUGCGCAGAUAUCGGGAAGAACACCUAUGGCGAAGGCAGCUCUCUGGGACGGUACUGACGCUGAGACGCGAAAGCGUGGGGAGCAAACAGG